AAAUACUGAACAAAGCCUCAAGUGCAAAUACGAACGAAAAUAUAAUAUCCAAAGAUCUGAAUGGAAUAUAUCUGAAUCAACGUACUGAAUAUAUCUGAAUCAACGUAAUUGACGAAACCAAUAAAAGAAUAAAGAAAUAACGAACUUAAGUAACUAACUCAAUGACUUGAACUGAACAGAAACCAACAAAACUAAUCCAAUAAAAUAAUAGGCUGAAACAAAUGGCUGGAGUUAUUUUAUACCGAAUGAGCUCAGAAAUACACAUUGCCACACAGGCAAGUCAAAAUAAUGUCACACAGGCAAGUCAAAUGAUGCCACACUGGCAACCAAAAUAAUGUCACACAGGCAAAUCACACAUUGGACAGCGAAUCCAA
RNAcentral lists this long non-coding RNA (374 nucleotides) under Panax ginseng (ginseng). Its description in RNAcentral is "long non-coding RNA (PGIN_LNC009790)". Lineage: Eukaryota; Viridiplantae; Streptophyta; Magnoliopsida; Apiales; Araliaceae. The record is from RNAcentral.